GAUGAACGCUGGCGGCGUGCCUAAUACAUGCAAGUCGAGCGAACGGACGAGAAGCUUGCUUCUCUGAUGUUAGCGGCGGACGGGUGAGUAACACGUGGAUAACCUACCUAUAAGACUGGGAUAACUUCGGGAAACCGGAGCUAAUACCGGAUAAUAUUUUGAACCGCAUGGUUCAAAAGUGAAAGACGGUCUUGCUGUCACUUAUAGAUGGAUCCGCGCUGCAUUAGCUAGUUGGUAAGGUAACGGCUUACCAAGGCAACGAUGCAUAGCCGACCUGAGAGGGGGAUAGGCGACAUUGGAGCUGGAACACGGUCAAGACUCCUAAGGGAGGCAGCAGUAGGGAAUCUUACGCAAUAGGCGAAAGCCUGACAGAGCGACGCCACGUGAGUGAUGAAGGUCUUGGGAUCGUAAAACUCUGUUAUUAGGGAAGAACAUAUGUGUAAGUAAAUGUGGACAUCUUGACGGUAACUAAUAAGAAAGCCACGGCUAACUACGUG
This 497-nucleotide ribosomal RNA is filed under the name uncultured bacterium. RNAcentral's name for it is "partial 16S ribosomal RNA". It matches the Rfam family "Bacterial small subunit ribosomal RNA", at positions 28 to 507 of the family's 1533-position model. The record is from RNAcentral.